RNAcentral lists this transfer RNA (71 nucleotides) under Promethearchaeota archaeon. Its description in RNAcentral is "Candidatus Lokiarchaeota archaeon tRNA-Trp". It matches the Rfam family "tRNA". Rfam says of the family: Transfer RNA (tRNA) molecules are approximately 80 nucleotides in length. Their secondary structure includes four short double-helical elements and three loops (D, anti-codon, and T loops). RNAcentral also lists the same sequence under 1 other name. The record is from RNAcentral. Lineage: Archaea; Promethearchaeati; Promethearchaeota.
GGGGUAAUAUGAUAGUGGUAGACUGUUGGCUUCCAAACCCGAAGGCGGAGGUUCAAUUCCUCCUUACCCCA